Molecule: unclassified non-coding RNA, 568 nt
Filed under: Hevea brasiliensis (rubber tree)
Lineage: Eukaryota; Viridiplantae; Streptophyta; Magnoliopsida; Malpighiales; Euphorbiaceae
Source: RNAcentral
AGCUAAUUCUGUUCAGCAAUGGUCCCCGAUUUGUGGCGGAGCUCGAUCGAAUCAGCUUCGAGGUUGCUUUGGCCUCCAGUUAAGAUCGAAGAGCUCUUUUGCUUCUACAGGAAUAAAAGCUCAGGUUGCUACAGCAGAACAAGCAAGCGUUAAGGAAGGCCAGCAAGUGGAAGCGCCUGUGGCUAUUGUGACAGGAGCCUCGAGAGGAAUUGGAAGAGCCAUCGCAUUGAGCUUGGGAAAGGCCGGUUGUAAGGUCCUGGUUAAUUAUGCUAGAUCGUCAAAGGAGGCUGAGGAAGUUUCUAAAGAGAUUGAGGGCUUUGGUGGGCAGGCUAUAACUUUUGGUGGAGAUGUGUCAAAGGAGGCUGAUGUAGAUUCAAUGAUCAAGACAGCCAUUGAUGCUUGGGGAACUGUUGAUAUAUUGAUCAACAAUGCAGGAAUUACACGUGAUGGCUUGUUGAUGAGGAUGAAGACAUCUCAAUGGCAGGAGGUGAUUGACCUGAAUCUUACUGGUGUUUAUCUCUGCACUCAGGCAGCAUCCAAAAUUAUGAUGAAAAAGAAAAAGGGAAGA